RNAcentral lists this long non-coding RNA (617 nucleotides) under Dasypus novemcinctus (nine-banded armadillo). Its description in RNAcentral is "lncRNA (ENSDNOG00000052426.1)". The record is from RNAcentral. Lineage: Eukaryota; Metazoa; Chordata; Mammalia; Cingulata; Dasypodidae.
GUGGGCAGGAACCUUGGGUGGGAGAAGCAGCAAGGCUAAGCAGGAGGAGCAGGGGCCUUUGAGUUCUAGCCUAGCAGCAUGACAGGGAAAAGGUCACUUCCCAUCUCUGGGCCUCAAUUUCCUCAUUUGUAAAACAGGGAAACGCCACCAGAUCUUCGCCUUAGCAUUCCAGGAAUCUUUGAAAGUGGAAGGGCCUGCACUCAAACCAUCCUCCCUCAGCAAUGCUGGAUUGGAAGCUGAGCAAAGCCACUGUGGAGGAAGAGUGACUCCCUUUUCUCCACCUAUCAGGGGAGGUAAAGGCUCUCAUGCUUGUGUUUCAAGUCCUCGGCAAGCAUGGUUUGGCAGAUGGGAAGCAAGCCUGGAGGAGACCAUAGAGCUUCCUUCCUAUGCCUGGUCCUGGGCACAGGACUCUGAAGCCCUGCAAGUGAGCAGUGCACACAUGAGUGAGUGUCACCCACGAUGGAAAAGCCGGCUGUUCAUGAGCACUUAGGAUGGGCCAGACCCUAGGCCAGAUGCUUCUCAUGUAUCUCCUUUAUUCUCCCAAUUACCUUGUUGAGAAAAAAAAGCAUAACCUUGCAGAAAAGAUAUCUAAUGAGCCACUCCUGCCCCAGCUUCUG